RNAcentral lists this unclassified non-coding RNA (465 nucleotides) under Hevea brasiliensis (rubber tree). Lineage: Eukaryota; Viridiplantae; Streptophyta; Magnoliopsida; Malpighiales; Euphorbiaceae. The record is from RNAcentral.
GGGAAUGAAGUAUUUCUGGGAUACUCUCUUGGAUGCAGACCUCGAGAGUGAUGCGCUUGGUUGGCAAUAUAUAUCUGGAACACUUCCUGAUAGCCGUGAAUUUGAUCGCAUUGACAAUCCACAGCUGGAAGGCUAUAAAUUUGACCCAAAUGGAGAAUAUGUUAGGAGAUGGCUUCCUGAACUUUCUAGAUUGCCCACUGAAUGGAUUCAUCACCCAUGGAAUGCACCAGAAUCUGUGCUCCAAGCUGCUGGGAUCGAGCUUGGAUCAAACUACCCCCUUCCUAUCGUAGGACUGGAUGCAGCUAAAGCUAGGUUGGAAGAAGCGCUGUCGGAGAUGUGGCAACAAGAAGCGGCUUCAAGGGCUGCAAUUGAGAAUGGAACUGAAGAGGGACUCGGGGACUCUUCUGAGUCAAUCCCAAUUGCAUUUCCUCAAGACAUAGCUAUGGAGGAGGAAGACCUUGAGCC